GUGACGGAGUUCGGCGACUACCAAUGGAAGGGCAGAUGUUCCCUUCUCUUUUCUACUCGCUAGCUAAAAAUUCACUCGCUAGCUAAAAUAAACUGACGAGGGAAAAACUUAUAAUUGCGGUGUCCGGUUUCCCCAUUAUUUAUGAUGCUUCUCUGGUUUCAUUAAGAGAUAAAAAAAUGGAUGCAUGGAAGUUUUCAAAAAUCGUUGGGAUCACGGGUGUUUCCCCUAUACCGAUUGACUGGUUGUCGCUGGCAUAAAUUAGGAAGAUGCUAGUUUCGGCUCAGCAACAGAGAUUGGGCGAUUUGCGAGUUGAGCGAGCAGACAGUACGUACGCUCCAUGGAGAAAAUCAAUUGUUGGAACGCAAGUAAAACAUCUCACAGUGACUCUGAACCAAUUCCAGAAACCCCAGCAACAGCACUUGUUCAACAGAGAGCGCCAUGUUACCAGAUAUCUUCAAGAACCCAAGAGUUCCCAAGAUUCACGUACAGUUUAUCUACAGCUGCUAGAAUCAGCUGUUGUCACAGUCAAGGAUGUUGCAGAGGUCUUUGCCAAAUUAAUCAAAAUAAAAUGCCAGUGAGAUAUCCUCCAGCUAUUUACACUGCCUGCAGUUAGCUUUGACCAUGGUUACAAAGAGAGGUAAUGUACCUGCUGAUGUAAUUUUAACAAGCAGUUUUGCAGAGGCUGCUGGGAUAAUACAUUACAAACUGAUCUCCAGCUAGAACAGAGGAGAAGCGAUCCAGCUUUGUUUUUCAAUUUGCUGCAUCUACUACAUACAUAAAACUGGAAAUGCAAUUUGUAUGAAUCAGCACCUCAGAGUCUAGAAACAACAUGUUGUAUCACAGUUACAGUGGUGCUUGUGGACUGCUUGUGUUUAAGCCUGACACCCAGAAAACCUAGAAACAAUGCAUUCGAGAUUGUUUUAUAGUGAUUCUAUUAGCUAUAUUUCAUAGAGAACGGCUGUACUGUGCAUGGACAGGGUGA
Esox lucius (northern pike) is the source of this 982-nucleotide long non-coding RNA. RefSeq lists it as uncharacterized. The transcript has 4 exons. Lineage: Eukaryota; Metazoa; Chordata; Actinopteri; Esociformes; Esocidae. The record is from RefSeq and is a predicted model, not a curated record.